UGGGGGAUAUUGCGCAAUGGGGGCAACCCUGACGCAGCAACGCCGCGUGAAGGAUGAAGGUUUUCGGAUUGUAAACUUCUUUUAUUAAGGACGAAACUUGACGGUACUUAAUGAAUAAGCUCCGGCUAACUACGUGCCAGCAGCCGCGGUAAUACGUAGGGAGCAAGCGUUGUCCGGAUUUACUGGGUGUAAAGGGUGCGUAGGCGGCUUUGCAAGUCAGAUGUGAAAUCUAUGGGCUCAACCCAUAAACUGCAUUUGAAACUGUAGAGCUUGAGUGAAGUAGAGGCAGGCGGAAUUCCCCGUGUAGCGGUGAAAUGCGUAGAGAUGGGGAGGAACACCAGUGGCGAAGGCGGCUUGCUGGGCUUUAACUGACGCUGAGGCACGAAAGCGUGGGUAGCAAACAGGAUUAGAUACCCUGGUAGUCCACGCUGUAAACGAUGAUUACUAGGUGUGGGGGGUCUGACCCCUUCCGUGCCGGAGUUAACACAAUAAGUAAUCCACCUGGGGAGUACGGCCGCAAGGUUGAAACUCAAAGGAAUUGACGGGGGCCCGCACAAGCAGUGGAGUAUGUGGUUUAAUUCGAAGCAACGCGAAGAACCUUACCAGGUCUUGACAUCCAACUAACGAAGUAGAGAUACAUUAGGUGCCCUUCGGGGAAAGUUGAGACAGGUGGUGCAUGGUUGUCGUCAGCUCGUGUCGUGAGAUGUUGGGUUAAGUCCCGCAACGAGCGCAACCCUUGCUAUUAGUUGCUACGCAAGAGCACUCUAAUAGGACUGCCGUUGACAAAACGGAGGAAGGUGGGGACGACGUCAAAUCAUCAUGCCCCUUAUGACCUGGGCUACACACGUACUACAAUGGAUGUUAACAGAGGGAAGCAAGACAGCGAUGUGGAGCAAACCCCUAAAAACAUUCUCAGUUCAGAUUGCAGGCUGCAACCCGCCUGCAUGAAGAUGGAAUUGCUAGUAAUCGCGGAUCAGCAUGCCGCGGUGAAUACGUUCCC
This 1000-nucleotide ribosomal RNA is filed under the name uncultured organism. RNAcentral describes it as "bacterial SSU rRNA". It matches the Rfam family "Bacterial small subunit ribosomal RNA", at positions 355 to 1375 of the family's 1533-position model. The record is from RNAcentral.